This 532-nucleotide ribosomal RNA is filed under the name uncultured bacterium. RNAcentral describes it as "bacterial SSU rRNA". It matches the Rfam family "Bacterial small subunit ribosomal RNA", at positions 9 to 524 of the family's 1533-position model. The record is from RNAcentral.
GAGUUUGAUCGUGGCUCAGGACGAACGCUGGCGGCGCGCUUAACACAUGCAAGUCGAGCGAGAACCAGGCCUUCGGGCUUGGGGAAAGCGGCGAACGGGUGAGUAACACGUGGGUAACCCACCCUUGGUACCGGGAUAGCCCGGGGAAACCCGGAUUAAUACCGGAUGGCCCAACAGCUCUUCGGGGCGGUUGGAAAAGGUAGCUUCGGCCUCCGACCAAGGACGGGCCCGCGGCGGAUUAGCUUGUUGGUGAGGUAACGGCUCACCAAGGCGACGAUCCGUAGCUGGUCUGAGAGGACGAUCAGCCACACUGGGACUGAGACACGGCCCAGACUCCUACGGGAGGCAGCAGUGGGGAAUCUUGCGCAAUGGGCGAAAGCCUGACGCAGCGACGCCGCGUGGGGGAAGAAGGGCUUUCGGGUUGUAAACCCCUUUCAGGAAGGACGAAGCUACUCGGGUUAAUAGCCCAGAGGGUGACGGUACUUCCAGAAGAAGCCCCGGCUAACUACGUGCCAGCAGCCGCCGCCGUAAC